This 1473-nucleotide ribosomal RNA is filed under the name Lactobacillus sp. RNAcentral's name for it is "bacterial SSU rRNA". It matches the Rfam family "Bacterial small subunit ribosomal RNA". Lineage: Bacteria; Bacillati; Bacillota; Bacilli; Lactobacillales; Lactobacillaceae. The record is from RNAcentral.
GCUGUCGGCGUGCCUAAUACAUGCAAGUCGAACGAACUCUGGUAUUGAUUGGUGCUUGCAUCAUGAUUUACAUUUGAGUGAGUGGCGAACUGGUGAGUAACACGUGGGAAACCUGCCCAGAAGCGGGGGAUAACACCUGGAAACAGAUGCUAAUACCGCAUAACAACUUGGACCGCAUGGUCCGAGUUUGAAAGAUGGCUUCGGCUAUCACUUUUGGAUGGUCCCGCGGCGUAUUAGCUAGAUGGUGGGGUAACGGCUCACAAUGGCAGUGAUACGUAGCCGACCUGAGAGGGUAAUCGGCCACAUUGGGACUGAGACACGGCCCAAACUCCUACGGGAGGCAGCAGUAGGGAAUCUUCCACAAUGGACGAAAGUCUGAUGGAGCAACGCCGCGUGAGUGAGGAAGGGUUUCGGCUCGUAAAACUCUGUUGUUAAAGAAGAACAUAUCUGAGAGUAACUGUUCAGGUAUUGACGGUAUUUAACCAGAAAGCCACGGCUAACUACGUGCCAGCAGCCGCGGUAAUACGUAGGUGGCAAGCGUUGUCCGGAUUUAUUGGGCGUAAAGCGAGCGCAGGCGGUUUUUUAAGUCUGAUGUGAAAGCCUUCGGCUCAACCGAAGAAGUGCAUCGGAAACUGGGAAACUUGAGUGCAGAAGAGUACAGUGGAACUCCAUGUGUAGCGGUGACAUGCGUAGAUAUAUGGAAGAACACCAGUGGCGAAGGCGGCUGUCUGGUCUGUAACUGACGCUGAGGCUCGAAAGUAUGGGUAGCAAACAGGAUUAGAUACCCUGGUAGUCCAUACCGUAAACGAUGAAUGCUAAGUGUUGGAGGGUUUCCGCCCUUCAGUGCUGCAGCUAACGCAUUAAGCAUUCCGCCUGGGGAGUACGGCCGCAAGGCUGAAACUCAAAGGAAUUGACGGGGGCCCGCACAAGCGGUGGAGCAUGUGGUUUAAUUCGAAGCUACGCGAAGAACCUUACCAGGUCUUGACAUACUAUGCAAAUCUAAGAGAUUAGACGUUCCCUUCGGGGACAUGGAUACAGGUGGUGCAUGGUUGUCGUCAGCUCGUGUCGUGAGAUGUUGGGUAAGUCCCGCAACGAGCGCAACCCUUAUUAUCAGUUGCCAGCAUUAAGUUGGGCACUCUGGUGAGACUGCCGGUGACACACCGGAGGAAGGUGGGGAUGACGUCAAAUCAUCAUGCCCCUUAUGACCUGGGCUACACACGUGCUACAAUGGAUGGUACAACGAGUUGCGAACUCGCGAGAGUAAGCUAAUCUCUUAAAGCCAUUCUCAGUUCGGAUUGUAGGCUGCAACUCGCCUACAUGAAGUCGGAAUCGCUAGUAAUCGCGGAUCAGCAUGCCGCGGUGAAUACGUUCCCGGGCCUUGUACACACCGCCCGUCACACCAUGAGAGUUUGUAACACCCAAAGUCGGUGCGGUAACCUUUUAGGAACCAGCCGCCUAAGGUGGACAGAUGAU